This 7921-nucleotide long non-coding RNA is filed under the name Triticum aestivum (bread wheat). RNAcentral describes it as "long non-coding RNA (TAES_LNC019590)". The record is from RNAcentral. Lineage: Eukaryota; Viridiplantae; Streptophyta; Magnoliopsida; Poales; Poaceae.
UUUUCUGUUUUCCUUUUCUGUUAUUUGUUUUGAUUUAGUUUUAGGCACUAAACCAUUUUGCUUUCUUUUGAUAAUUUUGCAGGGACUGAAAGGAUUAUCCCAAAGCCCCUCACAAUUUCUCAGAAUUAUUGGACACAUAUUCGAUAUAUAGCAAAUAUAAAUCCAAUGCAAAUAGUUAUUGCAUUAGCUUCAAAUGCCCAAAAUAAAUAUUUAUGAGCUCCUAAAAAUAUUGGUUUGAAUUUUAAUUCUAGCCAAUAGUUCCAUAGAGAAACAUGAACAUUUUCUUGGACCUAUUUGAAGCAAUUUUAUCUUGGUCUUUUUCAGAAAUGAUUUCUGAGGCUUUCACAUGUCCCCAUUUCAAAUUCAUUGAAAUUUAAACAUGAUGCACACAUGACUAGCUAGCCUAGAGCAAACCAGAACUAGGGAUGUGACAACUCACCCCCACUAAACAAAAAUCUCGUCCCGAGAUUCAAGCGUAGGGUAAGAUGAAAGGGGAACGCAAAGUAACAUAAUCUUCAUGAUCCAAUUGUUCUUCUCGAAGAUGUUGAUUCAUUGCAUCAUCUUGAUCUUGACAUAUUUUCUUUCGAGAGCUUCAUCCAACUAUGAUGACGGAAGAGAGGGAAACUCUACAGGAUCGAUCUUCUUGAAGAUCGGGCACUCCAGAUCAACUCAUGGAGUGAGACGUUGGAACAACUCUUGAGUUGAGACAGUGGAUGGAAAGAAAACAGAUGACAAAGGUUUCAAGUAGCGAGGAAAAAUUGACAUGACUCCAUAACGGAGCACCUUAGGAAAGGUGACUCGUAGAAUUAUUCCCUUAAGUGGCAAAAAGAAUUACUUUUGAUACAAAGAUCGUUGAAACUCUUUAUACCACCCUAAGGCAAUCACAAAUGAUCGUUCGAGGGAGUUCGGGAGAACGACACACUCGGGCUAGAAUGGACGAUGUGGACUACCUUGUUGAAGACAACGAAAUGGAUGAUUUUUGCUUAUCAUCAGAAAUGAAUGGGACUCAUGGUAAGUCCACCUUUGAAGAUGGACCUGGACAGCAACUGCUGAGAAGGGCAGCCCAUGGAAAAUUGGCACGAUGGGGUGCAAGCUGGGAACAAAAUGCAACCGUUGGGAAUGUUCCAACCAUCAUAUCUGCCUGAGAUUCAGAUCCGAUUGGUGAUAGGAUACUUCAGACUCAGCAUGUCUGAAAAGAAAGUUUGCAACACAAUUCGAUGAGAUGGCGUUGCGAGAUUCUCGAGGAAUGAACUAAGAUAGCAAGCUCCAAAACAUGAGCUGGUUCUACUAAACACAUGUGAACACGCUGUCCCAGACAAGCAUGACCACAUAGUAGUCUUAUGAUAAAACACUACCGAGUUCAGGUGGGGAACCAUCAUCUAGGGUAACGAAGUCUUGUGCAUGACCUAGGAUUUGCACAACAACUCCUUUUCCUUGAACAAAUCAAUCAGUGGCUUGGUGUGCUAGGAACACAUAUAGACUGGAGGUAGCGAGCCUAUCAAACCAUAGCAUACUUCGCACAUGCAUGACUGACUUGGGAUGGUUCCAGAGAAAACAAAAACAAUCCUUCUCGGAUCCACGGCGACACCUUACAUCAAGUGCACGUGAAUUAAAGGAAGCCACUUCUUUCAUCCAAACAUAUCCUUCAUGAGAUAGCACGAAGAAAAUGCUAGCACAAGUUUCCAACACUAACUUAAUGUUCAACACGAGUCAUGGAGAAGAUAAGAAUGUUGCCGAUGGGCUCAGCAACAAUUUAUCAAAAUUCCAAUGGAGAUGGACUUCCACAAUUAAGUGAACAUGGUGAUAGCAUUGGUUAGACCAAAGGAUGUAAUGGUGUAUGCUCGAGGAAUCAACCAUGAGUAAGACAACAUUGGAAUAUCGUUGGUUCUAACUUGAUUUGACGAUGGCCCACACUCAAAUCAAGGUUUGGGCAAGACGAUAGGUUCAACAACUGAUCACAAGGAACAAUCGAUGAAGAAAUCAUCUUUCUACAACAAACACACAAACACAAGAUAUCCCUUUGGAAUGAACUAAGUUAGGCAAGCUUUAUCUUCCAACUCUCCAAGUUGUUGUUCAGCUUAACCAACUAGCUCAGGGGUAUCCAACACAGAUUCUUGGAGAAGGGGUGGUUUAUAAGAAAACCAACUUGAUCACGAGCUCAACAUAACAGUCAGGGGAUAACCUAGUAACACUUCCGAGAAGAUAUUCGGAAAAUCACGAACCACCGGUACGUUGCUAAGCUCGAGAUCAAUCUUGCUUUUCAGGGCAAGACGAUGUGAUCAAGAGAGUGAUGGAUUGACACAAUCCUAUCUCAUUAAUCGAGGAGUGCACCAGAAAUAAGGACUAGGUAGCACGAUCAAUCUUAGGAUGAUGAUUUAAUAACCAGCACACAAAGAAUGAGAGUGUUGUCCAUUAACUACCAAGCAACACGGUUGCUAGGAGUAUUGAUUUCACACAUCAUGGUUCACUUGUCGGCAUUCCGGUUGUGACAAGACGGGGCCAAGAAAUGAAUGAUGAUGGCGAGGAGUAACACUGCGUCAAGAAUUCACAAAAGGUGGUGCAAUUCCUACGAUAUUCUCGACAUAAAGGGGGUAAUACUCGAAGGUAGAACAUAACAAAAGCUGGUUAGGCAUUUGAUCUGCGGAAUACAACUACUUUGACCCAAUCCCAAAGGUGGACGAGGUACUGGAGUUUGUUUCUCCUAGUCAUUCUGGAUUAGAAUGGCUUGACAGACCACAAGAAUAAUAGGCAUCGAUAACACAAAUGCACAAUUACUCCUGACUAUCAAUUGAUAGACGAGGGCCAGAAAAUAACUAAAGAGGGACAACUCAAAGAAACAUACGAUUUUCUGAGUUGUGGGUGCAUAGAUUAGCAUGUCGAACGAGUUCAACAUAUUUCUUCCGGAUAACCCAUGCAGAAGAAGAAGGACUGGCAGAUUCACAAUUUGAAUGGGGUACUCCUCAAGAGCGCCCUGGUUGUGAUCUUUUGGUUAAAAAGAACUUCUGCCAUAAGCAGUUCAUGGUAUUUGGAAGAAGGAAAUACCACGGACCUCGAGGACUAUCGCAAAGGUUACUAAUAUCUUAAGGGAACUAGCAAAUAUUAACAACAUGAAGUAGGGUGAAUCUCGGGUUCAAAAACCCAGGAGUAGAAUACCUACUACUAAGUAGCAUCACGGGAUGCUUUCGGGAAUAAUGGCCAGAAUCAUCACACUGGGGAUACAAAGCAUUGCUAGAUUACUAAGUGACUCCCUAAAACACCUAGGGUCAUAGUAAUAGCUCCAACAUAUAUACCGAGGCAAUAGAGUGCCUCAACGCACCGAUAGUGUGCUUAAUCUGGCCCAAUGGGACGCAAAAACAGAGGGAAAGGAUUUUGCAAAUGCAUCAGACUAUUUAGAAACCUGGGAUGACUCGGACAACAUAACGGCUGUAAAUGCUCAGAAAAGAUUCGAGACAUCCUGCAAAAUGGUGGCAUAACAACUUAACAUCACAAUAUCAUGGUUUCGAGAUCAACUGUCAACACAUGGAAGUAGUAGAAACUGAACUGAGGCUUCAGACCAACAAUCCUACGAGUCUACGGAUUAGUAACACGUGAUCCUGAUAGAAAGAUGAGAAGCCUAGUUCUUAAUCCCCGUAGAGGAGAAGAGGUUGACUCAUAUCAGAAGGGCAUAAGGUAAAGGAGUAAAAAGAGCCUUACGUUCCCUCCCACAAUCAAUUCCCAUAUAUAACUAAAGCAUUUCUAGACACAACUUCGACCAGUUUGGCUUGGUAAUCCUACAGGAAGUCAGGCUCUGAUACCAAAGCUGUCAGGACCCCGAUUCUAAGUCACACCGAUCUAGCCUGUAACACCUCAUAUCACUUUGCGGCCUCACGCACGGUAUUCCCACGGGUGUCGCCUUACCCUGGCCCGGGACCGUUUGCGCCUUUUGGCUCACGCAUAUGAUAGUGUCGCUAGCAUCCAUAUGACAGAGAACCCGGGCCGACAUGACUAGUCGUGAACCCAAAGUGGCACUAACUUACGGGGACAGGCAUACAUGAAUCAACAUCGAGCAUGUCGGUCAGCAGCGUGCGAAUCCGGGCUGUAGCUCUGGGCUAACAGGACUCCGGGAACCCGGGCUGUAGCAGGCUAGGCAGGACUCCGGAUGUCACCGCGUGACAUUUCCCCGAAGGGACAGACACAGGAACGAAGUGAAUCACAUGCCGGCCAGUCAAGUGUUCCGGAGCAGUAGUGCUGGGCUAGCAGGACUCCGGUGAACCGGGCUGUAGCGGACUACUAUGGCUCAUGGAAGCACAAGACUACAUUUCCCCAUAAGAGAGGCUACCAAGGAUAAACAACUAGGUUGUCGGAUCCCACACAUACCAAGCAUUUCAAUCAUACACACAAUAUGCUCGAUAUGUGCAAAUACAACAUGGCAUCACAACAAGACUCUACGACUCAGAGUAUUUAUUCAUUAGGCUCCGAAGAGCGAGAUAUUACAAACAUGGGUCUCAUGACCCAACAUUCAGAGCAUACAAGUCAAAGCACAUGCGGAAGCUUAACAUGUCUGAGUACAGACAUCUACAAAAGAAGACGGCUGCGAAGCCUGACUAUCUACAAGACCCUGCCGAGGGCACAAGAUCGUAGCUGAGGUAUCAAGCUAAACGUCAAAGUCCACACGGAACUACUAGCGAGACUGACGUCUCUCUGCAAAACAUAAAAUAAGCAAACGUGAGUACAAAUGUACCCAGCAAGACUUACAUCAGAACUAUCUACAUAUGCAUCGGUAUCAACAAAGGGGGUGGUGGAGUUUGACUGCAGCAAGCCAGCUUUGACUCGAUGGCUAUCCUGAACUACGACUGCAAGUAACUCUUUUGAGGUGGCGCACACGAGUCCACAAUUCACCAUACCAAUACACCACUAUGGAUCCGCUCCCGUCUCCCUACGAGAACGCCAUCCAUAGCACUCACGCUUUUCUUGCGCAUUUUAGAGUAUCCACUUUCGCUUGUCUAUGAACUGUACAGGCAACCCAGAAGUCCUUUACCGCGGACACGGCUAUUCGAAUAGAUCAUAUUAACCCUGCAGGGGUGUACUUCGUCACACACGCUCUCGCCACUUACCACCAUGUACACGUCGUGUACCUCGGCAACCUUCAAGCGGAAGCCUGGCGAGGGAGUCGGCCACGACCUGACUAACCACACAAGUCUCUAGUCCAGGUUUAUCGCCUAUUCGGGUUCCAUCCGCAAGGAGAUCCGGCCGGGGUGUCGCUCACGGCCCCAAACGAUGUGUGCAGGGUUCCCGAGCCCACCAUCCGGGUGCCACUCGGUACACCAGGCCACGUGUGCCUAGUCUGUCCCAAGCCCACCUGUACCGGGUGCCACUUGGUAGACUACUAACACUACCUACAAACACCAGAAACUAGUUGCAACUCCUGGACAGAGAUCAGGUUGAUUAAUAAGUCGAGAGAGCUUGGAGCGCCCGGAGCCCAAUGUGUGGUAGUAACUGUUCAUGGAUCACAAACACAGAACUCAGUUCCUGAGGACGGUUUCAAUGAGACAACCCACCAUGUACUCCUACAUGGCCUCUCACCGCUACCUUUACCAAAUCGUGUUCACACACUUAGCUCUCAACAGUAGGACAUGUUCACCACAUUCCAAUUCAUCCCCGAUGAAUCGGACCUGACUCAACUCUAAGCAGUAGCAGGCAUGACAAACAAGCACAAAUGAGUAGGCACAUCAGGGCUCAAACAACUCCUACUCAUGCUAGUGGGUUUCAUCUAUUUACUGUGGCAAUGACAGGUCAUGCAGAGGAAAGGGGUUCAACUACCACAGCAUGUAACAGUUGAAUCGCUGUUGUCCUAAUGCAGUAAAAGAGAGCAGGAGCGAGAGAGUGGGAUUAUAUCGGACUGAACAAGGGGGUUUUGCUUGCCUGACACUUCCGAAGAUAGUAUAGCUCUUCAUCGGUGUCAUCGAUCGCAUCGUCGAAGCAACGUCUACUGAGAGGGGACAACACCGGCAAACAGAGGAGAAACACGAUCAAUGCAAUGCAAAAUAUGAUGCAUGCUAUGACAUGGCAAUAUGAAUGUGUUUUGAGCUAAUGCAACUAGCAACAUAUUAAAUGGAGUUGGUUUGAACCUUGGGUUCAAAUUCAAACUUCAUAUGUGGAAAUUCGAAUGCCAUUUACAUGAUUUGUCCUAAACAGCAGCCAUAAAUUGUUCUAACAUGCAUGAAAAUGGCACAGAUGGAUAGAUUGGAUUUUUCUGAUCAUUUUUCAUAUAUAAAUCUUUUCAUUCUGAGCUAUAGAUUAUUUUCUAUGGUUUUUUGAAGUUUGUGGUAUUUUCUGGAAUUUCCUGUAUAAAAAUAAUUCCAGUAAUUAAAUUGCUGCGUCACACUACAUCAGGAUGACGUCAGCAAGUCAACAGCGGCUGGUCCAGGUCAAACCUGACAGGUGUGGCCCACCUGUCAUUGACUCAGUGCUAACCAGGGUUUUGUUAAAUCCUAACUAAAGUAAUAAGAAGGGCUGGGGCCCACAGUCAGCGAGUCAGUGGGUUAGCUAAAAUUUGAUUAGCAUCUAAACUAAAUUAGCAGGGCCUCGGGCCCACAUGUUAAUGACCCAGGGGGGUCAAACCCUGGUCAACUCGGUCAAACAUGCCGGCGACUCGACGCCGGCGAGGCCAGACGCGGCGGGGCACCUCGGGUUUCGCCUACAGGGCACGGCUUGCGACACAGUUGGGUUCUACGGCGAGCUGGGGCUCGUGCGCAUCCAGCGGUGGUAGUGAAAGGGCACGAGGUGGUCUGUAGCGGCGGCAGCGGCGAGUUGGGCGGCGGCCGGAGCUCUGGCGUCGACAAAAUCGACGACACGGCGCGCGGGAGGACCAGCGUUUUGUACCUACGUGAUCUACGAGAGCUCACGAACCCAACGGAGGCACGCACGGGACCAAAUGGCCACCGGAGCCUCGUCGGCGACAGGCUCGUGCGGCGGCGUGCUUCGGCAUCAAUGGAAAAUGCAGCUACAACGAGCGCUAGGCCGCGGGAUUAGGGGGAAACGACGGCGAAGCUCAUAGUGAUCACGAAGAGGGGCUCGGCUUGCUCGGGGACGGCUUGGCGACGGUGAAUCGACGUCGGCGGUGACCGGCUCCCGAGGUUGAGGACGGUGGCGAUGACGACGCUACGGAGCGUCCCGGCUGGCUUGGCUCGGUGGAGAUGACGAGGAAGACGACGCGGAGCUCGUGGGCACAACAGAGGGCGAGGGGGUAGCUGUGGCCGUGGUGGUUCUCGUCGGCGGUCUCGGGUGCGUACGGUCGGUCAUGGAAGAGAGAGUCAGAGAGGGGAUGGGGACGAGCAAGCGGUUGAGGGACGCGCGGGAGAGUGCGUGGCGUCCGUAGCCAGCAUGAGGCGUUCGGCGGCAAGCAGGAGGUGGCCAGGCGCGUGCCAGCGCGCCGCGGCCACGCGCUCCUGUCCUCCUGGCGUGAGGAGGGAGAUGACUGGCAGUGCCAGGUGGGCUGGGCCGUAAGCUACGGGUGAGCGCCAGGUAAGUUUCUCUCUUUUCCUAUUUUUCUGUUUUCUGUUUUCCUUUUCUGUUAUUUGUUUUGAUUUAGUUUUAAGCACUAAACCAUUUUGCUUUCUUCUGAUAAUUUUGCAGGGACUGAAAGGAUUAUCCCAAAGCCCCUCACAAUUUCUCAGAAUUAUUGGACACAUAUUCGAUAUAUAGCAAAUAUAAAUCCAAUGCAAAUAGUUAUUGCAUUAGCUUCAAAUGCCCAAAAUAAAUAUUUAUGAGCUCCUAAAAAUAUUGGUUUGAAUUUUAAUUCUGGCCAAUAUUUCCAUAGAGAAACAUGAACAUUUUCUUGGACCUAUUUGAAGCAAUUUUAUCUUGGUCUUUUUCAGAAAUGAUUUCUGAGGCUUUCACAUGUCCCCAUUUCAAAUUCAUUGAAAUUUAAACAUGAUGCACA